UACAUGUAUAAAAUUCUGAGGAUG
This 24-nucleotide microRNA is filed under the name Oryza sativa (Asian cultivated rice). RNAcentral describes it as "osa-miR2878-5p". RNAcentral also lists the same sequence under 1 other name. Lineage: Eukaryota; Viridiplantae; Streptophyta; Magnoliopsida; Poales; Poaceae. The record is from miRBase by way of RNAcentral.